ACCGUAGUGCAGUGGCUAUGUCGUAACCAAUGAAGGUCUCCUGAGGUGCGAUUAUUUGCUAGUUGAAACUUUUACCAAUUUCAGUUAUAUUUAUAUAUAUUUAGUGAGAGAUAAUAGAAUUAGUAUUAUUACA
This 133-nucleotide small nuclear RNA is filed under the name Rhodnius prolixus. RNAcentral describes it as "U4 spliceosomal RNA". It matches the Rfam family "U4 spliceosomal RNA". From Rfam's summary of the family: U4 small nuclear RNA (U4 snRNA) is a component of the major U2-dependent spliceosome. The structure of U4 snRNA from yeast and human has been reported. The record is from Rfam by way of RNAcentral. Lineage: Eukaryota; Metazoa; Arthropoda; Insecta; Hemiptera; Reduviidae.